This 231-nucleotide ribosomal RNA is filed under the name uncultured bacterium. RNAcentral describes it as "partial 16S ribosomal RNA". It matches the Rfam family "Bacterial small subunit ribosomal RNA", at positions 14 to 230 of the family's 1533-position model. The record is from RNAcentral.
GUAUCCUGGCUCAGGAUGAACGCUAGCUACAGGCUUAACACAUGCAAGUCGAGGGGGCGAGCAUGGUCUUAGCUUGCUAAGGCUGAUGGCGACCGGCGCACGGGUGAGUAACACGUAUCCAACCUGCCGUCUACGUCUUGGCCAGCCUUCUGAAAGGAAGAUUAAUCCAGGAUGGGAUCAUGAGUUCACAUGUACCGCAUGAUUAAAGGUAUUUUCCGGUAGACGAUGGGG